This 438-nucleotide unclassified non-coding RNA is filed under the name Helichrysum cryptomerioides. Its description in RNAcentral is "sequence contains ITS1, 5.8S rRNA gene and ITS2". The stretch from base 259 to 414 matches the Rfam family "5.8S ribosomal RNA". Lineage: Eukaryota; Viridiplantae; Streptophyta; Magnoliopsida; Asterales; Asteraceae. The record is from RNAcentral.
UCGAACCCUGCAAAGCAGAAMAACCCGUGAACAUGUAAUUACAACUAGGCAAAUUAGGGAUUGAGCUUUUGUUUGAUCCUCAGUUGCCUUGUCGAUGUGCGUCUGAGAGUCCUUAGGGAUGACAGGAUGUUACAUUGACAUACUAACCAACCCCGGCACGGAAUGUGCCAAGGAAAUUAAAACUUAAGGAAUGGAAGGUUUCAUGAUGUCCCGUUUUGCGGUGAACUAUUGAAACUUUACUUCUUUGUAAUCACAAAYGACUCUCGGCAACGGAUAUCUCGGCUCACGCAUCGAUGAAGAACGUAGCAAAAUGCGAUACUUGGUGUGAAUUGCAGAAUCCCGUGAACCAUCGAGUUUUUGAACGCAAGUUGCGCCCGAAGCCAUUUGGUUGAGGGCACGUCUGCCUGRGCGUCACGCAUCGUGUCGCCCCCUACCACU